This 919-nucleotide non-coding RNA is filed under the name Mimetillus moloneyi (Moloney's mimic bat). Its description in RNAcentral is "partial 12S ribosomal RNA". It matches the Rfam family "Bacterial small subunit ribosomal RNA". The record is from RNAcentral. Lineage: Eukaryota; Metazoa; Chordata; Mammalia; Chiroptera; Vespertilionidae.
CAUAGGUUUGGUUCUAGCCUUUCUAUUAGUUAUAAAUAAAAUUACACAUGCAAGAAUCCUCGCCCCCGUGAGAAUGCCCUUUAACCACUUUAACUGGUACAAGGAGCUGGUAUCAAGCACACUUAAAGUAGCUCAUAACACCUUGCUCAGCCACACCCCCAAGGGAAACAGCAGUGACAAAAAUUAAGCAAUAGAUGAAAGUCUGACUAAGUUAUAUUUCAAAGGACUGGUAAAUCUCGUGCCAGCCACCGCGGUCAUACGAUUAGGUCGAACUAAUAGAUAUCCGGCGUAAAGAGUGAUUAAGAAUUAUAUAAACAAAUAAAGUUAAAUUUUAACUAAGCCGUAAAAAGCCUCAGUUACUGUAAACUAAACAACGAAAGUGACUUUAAAAUUUCUGACUACACGAUAGCUAAGACCCAAACUGGGAUUAGAUACCCCACUAUGCCUAGCUUUAAACAUAAAAGAUUACUAACAAAAUCAUUCGCCAGAGUACUACUAGCAAAAGCUAAAAACUCAAAGAACUUGGCGGUGCCUUAUAUCCAUCUAGAGGAGCCUGUUCUAUAAUCGAUAAACCCCGAUAUACCUCACCAACCCUUGCCAAAUCAGCCUAUAUACCGCCAUCUUCAGCAAACCCUAAAAAGGAAGCAUAGUAAGCAUAAAUAUAAACAUAAAAACGUUAGGUCAAGGUGUAGCUUAUGGAUUGGGAAGAAAUGGGCUACAUUUCCUGUAUCUAAGGAUAUAACCCUACGAAGACACGUGUGAAACCAUUAGUUAAAGGUGGAUUUAGUAGUAAAUUAAGAAUAGAGCGCUUAAUUGAAUAAGGCCAUGAGGCACGCACACACCGCCCGUCACCCUCCUCAAGCAACAACUAACACUCAUUAAUUUAAACACAAGUUAUGGACCCUGUAAGAGGAGAUAA